UACAUUGCAAGUCGAGCGAACAGAUGAGAAGCUUGCUUCUCUGAUGUUAGCGGCGCGACGGGUGAGUAACACGUGGGUAACCUACCUAUAAGACUGGGAUAACUCCGGGAAACCGGGGCUAAUACCGGAUAAUAUUUUGAACCGCAUGGUUCAAUAGUGAAAGACGGUUUCGGCUGUCACUUAUAGAUGGACCCGCGCCGUAUUAGCUAGUUGGUGAGGUAACGGCUUACCAAGGCGACGAUACGUAGCCGACCUGAGAGGGUGAUCGGCCACACUGGAACUGAGACACGGUCCAGACUCCUACGGGAGGCAGCAGUAGGGAAUCUUCCGCAAUGGGCGAAAGCCUGACGGAGCAACGCCGCGUGAGUGAUGAAGGUCUUCGGAUCGUAAAACUCUGUUGUUAGGGAAGAACAAAUUUGUUAGUAACUGAACGAGUCUUGACGGUACCUAACCAGAAAGCCACGGCUAACUACGUGCCAGCAGCCGCGGUAAUACGUAGGUGGCAAGCGUUAUCCGGAAUUAUUGGGCGUAAAGCGCGCGUAGGCGGUUUCUUAAGUCUGAUGUGAAAGCCCACGGCUCAACCGUGGAGGGUCAUUGGAAACUGGGAGACUUGAGUGCAGAAGAGGAGAGUGGAAUUCCAUGUGUAGCGGUGAAAUGCGCAGAGAUAUGGAGGAACACCAGUGGCGAAGGCGACUCUCUGGUCUGUAACUGACGCUGAUGUGCGAAAGCGUGGGGAUCAAACAGGAUUAGAUACCCUGGUAGUCCACGCCGUAAACGAUGAGUGCUAAGUGUUAGGGGGUUUCCGCCCCUUAGUGCUGCAGCUAACGCAUUAAGCACUCCGCCUGGGGAGUACGACCGCAAGGUUGAAAC
RNAcentral lists this ribosomal RNA (870 nucleotides) under Mammaliicoccus sciuri. RNAcentral's name for it is "bacterial SSU rRNA". It matches the Rfam family "Bacterial small subunit ribosomal RNA", at positions 52 to 900 of the family's 1533-position model. The record is from RNAcentral. Lineage: Bacteria; Bacillati; Bacillota; Bacilli; Caryophanales; Staphylococcaceae.